Molecule: long non-coding RNA, 1093 nt
Organism: Juglans regia (Persian walnut)
Lineage: Eukaryota; Viridiplantae; Streptophyta; Magnoliopsida; Fagales; Juglandaceae
Exons: 4
Source: RefSeq, a predicted model, not a curated record
UUCUGUUCUGCAUCUCUCCCUCAAUCUAUACUCUUCACGCCUCCAUGCAGCUGCUACUGCACGUCGCCGUCGACCCACCAUCCACCUCCACCAUCGCCGGCCAACCCAGCCAAGCCCCUCCCUCACGGAUUCUCUCUCUCCCGCAGAUCUCCCUCUUUCUUCACCCUCGAAGUCGUUUCUCUCUUGGGUUCCCAGUGACGCCGCAUCACCUCCAGCUACCGGCAUAGCUACCCAACGGUCCCCAACCCCUCCACAAGCUCUCCCUAUCUCUCAGCGUCGAUCUGCUCUCCCCCGCAAGGAUCUCGCUCAAGCGCCUCGUACAAGCCCUGCGCCACCUUCCUCCACGACAAAGCACCACCGCAAGUCAGCCCUCUACACGGCCGCAAUGCCACCCCAUGCUCCACCACCUCCCCUUCAACGCCAUAAGCCAACCCAGAACAGAUAAGGAGAAUGUUGUGAUGAAAACUGCAAAGUUAAGAGAUAAGUAAGAAGUUCUAGACAGACAACAACAUGCUAAUACUAAAGUUCAAAAGAAUCUGGAAGACAAUCUUCAACAGCUUAUAAAUCGAGAUGACAGUUCUCUUCCCUUGGUUCUUUGGAUGAGAAAUUGUUGGCUGAGUUGGCUUCCUCCAUGUCAUCGGUUAUUGUUGGGUUAGUUUCACUAGUUUCUGCUCCUAUCAUUGAUUGAGCUCCUGGAUGAGAAGUGGCUGGCAAAAUAAUUUAGAUGAUGUCAUUGUUCACUGCCAACUCCUCCUUCACAGGCUAUAAUGGCAGUGAGUAAUACAUUUGACCUACCCUGGACUGGCUUUGGGUGAGAGCUCCUGCAACUUAACGAAUUUUCAAUACAAUUACUAUAUUUCCCAUGGCUUCUUACAAAAUUUGUCUUUGAUAUUGUAUAUUGCAAUUGCAGUUAGCAUGUAAUGGUCUUAGCUACAGAGGUUUAGAUCAAUAGGUCUUGUAGAGCAUACUAAUUCUAAAAGCAGGAUCACACAUGGGGAUUAGGGUAAAUACUAAAUAGUGUAUAUUGGAAAGAACAGCUAUCAAGCAUAAUGCUUUCUGUGGUUAGUUAAUUACCUAUAUAUUGUAAAACACA